This 5761-nucleotide long non-coding RNA is filed under the name Gallus gallus (chicken). Lineage: Eukaryota; Metazoa; Chordata; Aves; Galliformes; Phasianidae. The record is from RNAcentral.
GUUAAUAUUAUUAUUGGUACCAGAAUUAUUGUUAGAAUCCUAUAGUUGCUGAGGGACCUCUGGAGGUCAUCUCAUCCUGGGACAGAGUUAAAUGGGAUUGCUCUGCCCAUGUCUAGUCAAAAAGAAAAAAAAAGAUUGUGGCAGCUGUACUGCACUCAAAGAUCUGAGACUUCGUUUAGCAUUGCACUUUAAAAUGUAGGAUGAGUUUUACCUUGUUUGACAGAAAUAUAAAGAACUAUGAAAAUAAUAUCUAGUACCAGAAUGCUAGGUUGAUGUCUCCUCUGCUGGAGCACGCACCUUCCUAACAGUUAGAUGCUUGAAUUCAGUGAAUUCACAAGGAAGAAGAAUCACAAAGUUGGGAAAGAUCUCAAAGAUCAUCCAGUCCAAUUGUCCACCUGUCACCAAUAUUUCCCACUAAACUAUGUCCCUCAGUACAACAUCUAAAUGUUGCUUGAACACCUCCAGGGUCUGUGACUCCACCACCUCUCUGGGCAGCCCGUUCCAGUGACUGAUCACUCUUUCAGAGGAGAUUUUCCUAAUGUACGAUCUAAGUUUUCCUUGCAUCAUUUUGUAUGUAUUAGCUGUUUGCAGAACUUGAUAUUACUUGGUAGAUAUGUGACAAAAACACCAGUGUAAAGUGAUAGAAUUUUUACUGAUGACACAUGGACCACAUUUAUUUAAAGUUGCAUCAGAUACAUCUCAACACACAGACCUACUUAUUUACACAGUGGACUAUACUGAAGUAGUGAUGAAAGGGAAUAUUUUUCAAGCUCAAAUAUGUCAUUGUUUAUGUCACCUGGAAGAAAUAAUAGAUCUGAUUAUGUUCUGUGCUAUCGAGACUGAUGACAAUGAAGUUUACUGUCAUUGACAAGCCCUACUAAAGCUACUGAUUGGAAGUGUCCUCUUGUAACUUUUAAGACAACAUGGAUUGUAGAUUUGGUAUAAUUUACAGAGUUUUCCCCUGAAUUUUUUCUUACUGUGAUGCUUGUCUUUUUAAUUUGAAUGAAAAUCUCCUCUGUGCAGUUAGACUGUUUCCUUGUGCUCAUUCUUAAGGGUGUAGCAAUCAUUGCACUGGGAUAUCAGGAAUUCUGAGUCUUUUAGUGUUUUUUUAUUUGAAAUAGCUUUUUGUAGCUGCAGCUAUUAUAAUAAAUCUUUUCAGUCAAUACCAUCGUAGUUUUUAAAAUUCAUUAGGGAAAUGUCUGGAUUUUCUAUAUGUAGAAAAGUAUUCACCAGCAUCUACUGGGAGAUGUAUUUCACAGUCUCACUGUCAUAUUUAGCAGGUUGGGUCUCUGUCCUCUGUUCUCUCCUCUAGCAGCUAUUUGAAGCUGCUCAGGAGUUUGGAACGUUAGACUAACUUCUACGGAGCUGGAUUAGCAGGCAAGUGAUUCCAUCAUGAGUAUGACAUCUCUCCAAUUUUUCAUGUGGAUAUUACCUCUGCAUAUACAGAACAUGUGUGUUACAUACAUGUAUCUUCCAGAAAGUCCAGACAGCUGUAUUUUUGUUGAUAAUAUAAAACAACAUCAGUCAGGUGGCAGGGAAAAAUAAUGCAUUUCAUGAAUUUAUUAAAGACAGUAUAAGUAUCCAUUUGCAUUCUAACUAUGACGAUGUAGUUCUGAAAUUACUACUUUUUCCCUGUAAAAUUAUCCUUUCUACAAAGAAUGAACAUUUUAGCUCUGCAAAGGAGGGAAAAAAGUGUAUAUUCAUAACAGUAUGACAAGAAGGUAUUAUAGUCUGUAAGGUCAGGAGUGUGAUGAAUGUCAUUUACUUUUGCCCCAAAUGUCCUGGAUCUAGAAGUUGAGAUAGCAGUGGUAGCCCACACUAGCACAAAACUAAGUUUUCAGACCGCCUGCGUGGGGGUGCAUAUGGACCGUGUGAUGUCAAAGAGGAUUUCUAUUGUCUCCCUCAUGCAUUGUAGGGGGCUUUUUGUGAGGAGUCAAAGCUGUUAACGUGCUAUUUCUGCAACACAGGGCAAGAAGAUUUCUGUAGCUGUGUUAUCUCACAGAAAGAGGCAGCUGUACGAAAAUGAAUGUGAGGAGAACAACAUGAGCACACAGUUUCAUAGGCCAUACAUGUGUUGGAAGGACUGUUCUAAAAGGCUGAGAUAGAAAUGUAGAGUACUUUGCACCUGGGAAAGGAGUUCUAGGCUUUGAAUGGAGUUCUAAAUUUCCACAAUCCCAAUUACACGAUUCAAGUGCCCGUUAAGAGAGGGACCUAGACUCAUCAAUGUUGAUCUUUAACUCUUUUGUCAUCUUAAAGUGGGAUAGUGGGUAGAACUCUGUUCAAUGAAGAUUUAUUCAGUACCAUUCUGAAAAACAAGUUGCUAUUUUGCAGUGUGUUAAGUUAUGAGCCUAUGAAGCAUGGGAUCCAAAGUUAUAGUCAGUUUGCUAAAGAUAAUUAGCAUCAGUUAAAUUAAUUCCAGCUGCAAAGUAUUGCAUGUAAAUGAUAUAAGAACACUUCAAUAAAAUUUUGUGCCUGCUUCAAGAAUAAUGAAGCAUUCCUAAACUAUCUUGCAUUCAAAGUUUUCCUAAUUUUUCUUAUUAUUGAAAUAACAAAAUGCUAGCUGUCUAUAUGUGUAUAGAGAAUUGGGUAUCUAGCUAGCACUAGCAUGGAAAACAUAAAUGCACUGUAAUUUGUGUUGUAUAAAUUGCCUUAGUCGGUGUACUUUUAGUAAAGUACUUCAGUACAACAACUUUUUUUUUAGUGACACAAACAAUGAAUUUACUGACAUGGAAUUCAGAUUACCUGCAGUAUUGAUUGAUAUUCUUGAUUUCAGAAAUCUUGCUAAAUAAUGAGUCUAGGUAUUCACAAGGUAUGUUUUCAUGGAGAUCUUGUAAAAUUCCUCAUCAAUUGAGCCAGUUUAAAAAAAAAAAAAAUUACAUCAUAUAUGUGAUGCGUUUAGAAGGCCUGAAAGUUCCUGUAGAUUAGCUCAGUCUGGCGAAUUUAUUCAUUCGAGGCCUGUUCAUAUGAAAUGAGUUUGUAACCCUUUUUUCUCUUUACCAUAUGAUGUAGCAGUAACUUGAUUCUGAAAUUGCUCUCUACCUACUGCAGAACUUGUGGGAGGCACAGAAGAGAUUUUUGUGACCUGCACAAAUCUUUAUAGGAAAAAAAUAGCUGCAUGCUGACUUAGGGGCAGUACAAAAGAACUGUAAAAAUGUUUGAUUGCUGCUUAAACCUAAACAGGGACAUAUAAAAACAAUAAUAAAUAUGUAUGCAGCCCUCUAAUAUGCUUGGUUGCACAAUUUUUGACUGGAAAAGCAUAAGUGAGUAAUUAGAUAAUUGCUGCCUUGAUUGAGCUUAAUAGGAAACAUUUCAAUUAGGCUAAAACUACACAGAAAGGAAGUAGGCUUUUACAAAGGGAAACAUUCCAUGUCAUGCAACUGUCAGCUCUUGCCCACGGUAAGAGAUGGGAUUAAGUGGAUCUAUGCAAAGGAAACAAAAAGAAGGAAAGAAAAAGAAAAAAUGGUUGCAGCAAUUAGACUUGUACUUAAACAGUGUCUUCUGGUACAAUUUCUUGACUAUUCUAGUUCUGAUAAUGUAGUUCAUGCAAACCCCUUGGAUGCAACAAAUUAUGAUGUUAAAUCCAUGGGAGCGGUAACAUUUCUGCUUUUAAAAAAGAUCCAAAAGAGAGAAAAGUGUUCCUAUUCUACAUUAACAUUUUAUUUUCAGAUUAUCCCAAACUGCCAGAAGUUUAGUGAAGCCUGAUACUUUUUUUUCAUUUGGAAGGUGUCCUUGCACUAUCCAGAAUAUGACUAUUUGUCUGCAGGGUUACUUGCUUGUUUUUGCUAGGAAUUUGUUCCCUCUCAGCGGUGAAAAAGUCAAUACCUAAGCCAGGUUUGUGAGAAAGCUGAGGCCCAGUUUCUCCUGGGUGGUUUCAGAAAUUCAGGUGUACCCAUUGCCACAUGUGGAAGUCUGCUUUACCAGAUGUUGUCUGUCAAUGUUAGUGCCAUUCUGGCUUCAUACCAACAACCUGGAAGGGAGUUUCUUCCAUGACUGGCUGCUGUACUGAAAGAAAGCUGAACAGAUACUCUGCUUCCUUCUGCUCUUAUCUCCCCUCCUCCCUGCCCGCCCCCCCCCCCCCCCCAUGCUGCACUGUUUCCAAGAAUCAUAGAAUCACUGUAUCAUCAAGAUUGGACAAGACAUCUAAGGUCAUCUAGUUCAAACGUCAGCCCAUCACUACCAUGCCCCUCAGUGUCACAUCUACACAUUUCUUGGAACGCUUCCAGGGACAGUGUCUCCACCACCUCCCUGUCAUCCAGGAGAAUGCUGUGGGGAAACAGUGUCAAAGGCUUGAAGUCUAGGUAGACUACAUUCCAUUCGCAGCUGCUCUUUCAUCCAUCAAGUGGGUCACCUGGUUAUGGAAGAAGACCUGGUUGGUCAAGCAGGGAAUGCCUUUAUGAAAGCAUGCUAGUUAAGCCUGAUCCCUUGGUUGUCCCAUGCAUGCUGUGUGAUUGCACUCAAGAUGACCUGCUCUAUGUCCUUUCCUGAUAUAAAGGUCAAGCUGACAGGCCUGUAGUUCCCUGGAUCCUCCUUCCAACCUUCUUGUAUAUAGAUAACUCUUCAGUCAUCUGGGACCUCCCCACUUGACCAGGACUGCUGAUAAAUGAUGGGAAUUACCUUGGCAAGUACUUCCACCAGCUUCCCCAGUACCAUGAGGUGGAUCCAAUCCAGUCCCAUACACUUAUGAUAGUCUAGGUGGAAUAACAGGUCACUGUUUCCUCCUGAAUUGUGGGUGGUUUAUUCUGCUCCCCAAACACAUCUUCCAGCUCAGAGGGCUGAGUACCUUGAGGGUAACUGUUCUGACUAUUAAAAACAGAAGCAAAGACACUGAGUGCUUCAGUCUUUUUUCCAUUCUUGGUGGUAAUGUUCCCCACCACAUCCAGUAAAGGAUGGGAAUUUUACUUGGCCUUUCUUUUGUUGUCAAUGUAUUUGAAAAACACUUUUUGUUAUCUUUUGCACUGGUGACCAGAUUAAGUUCUGGCUGGGCUUUCAACUUUUUAAUUUUCUCGCUGCAUAUCCUAGAUAAAGUCAUGCUCAGCAAUUACUGAACUGAAAGUCUGUUACUACUCCCAUGGGCCCAGAAAUCCACCUGGGGACACAGAGCAGUGAAAGGACUAAGAUUACUUGGAAAGCAUACAGGAGAGUAAGAAGCACAUAUGAUGUACAUAAGCACUACUUUUCUCUUUGAAAAACACAUUUUUUUUUUUCCUUAUUCCACAUGUCUGGACAAGUGGCUCCUAAACAGCUAUCUAAUCUUUCUACCUAUUCAAUCAUUUGAACAGCAAUUUGUUCAUUCUAUCUGUUCAAGCUAUCUUUCAAGCUAGCAAUUAAAAAUGUAUGCUCUUUACUCACAAGCCCUAUGUAAGCCACCAAGUCUCUAUAUGACACUGCCACUGGGUUUGGUAGUCUAUUUUUGGGUAUAACAGAGGUUUUCUAAGCUGAAGAUGGCCAUGCUUGGUUAGUACCCACAUCAGUGACUCUGAGAAGGACACAUUUAUGUUGUGAGCAAAUCCCAUUUUAGGGAUGAAGGAUCAGUCAAGAUGUAUGGCUCCUGGCCAUAGGAGUUGUGGUCAGUGCUGGAAGAUAUUAAAUAAUCUGUGAUGAUGAUGAUGACAGGAGAUGCUGUGUCACUUAAGGAGAUGUCCUCUGGGAACCAUACCUAAUACUGACAACAAAUAUUUCUUUGUUAAAGAUGCUACAGGAGUCUGUGACUGUGCAGUUCCAUAUUGUGGUAUUUUAUAAUACAGGCUUGAGCGUUUCAAUG